UUUUAAGGGGGGAAACUGUUUAUUUAUAACUGUGUAGGUUACACUUUUUUAAAAACAUCUCAAAAAUUGUUUACAAAUUGUGUAGGUUGCACUUAUACAUAGUGCAGGAUGCAAUUUGUUGUGUUAAACAAGACUCUAACCCCGAAGACUAAUUUAAGAAUACAAUUUGUACAGAGAAAUUCAUUUCUUUAGGCAUUCAACAAGUUGUAGUCUAUUUUGC
This 220-nucleotide long non-coding RNA is filed under the name Lathyrus oleraceus (garden pea). RNAcentral describes it as "Pisum sativum (pea) long non-coding RNA (PSAT_LNC004417)". Lineage: Eukaryota; Viridiplantae; Streptophyta; Magnoliopsida; Fabales; Fabaceae. The record is from RNAcentral.